RNAcentral lists this ribosomal RNA (301 nucleotides) under uncultured bacterium. RNAcentral describes it as "partial 16S ribosomal RNA". It matches the Rfam family "Bacterial small subunit ribosomal RNA", at positions 509 to 807 of the family's 1533-position model. The record is from RNAcentral.
CAGUAGCCGCGGUAAUACGAAGGGUGCAAGCGUUAAUCGGAAUUACUGGGCGUAAAGCGUGCGUAGGCGGUUUGUUAAGUCUGUUGUGAAAUCCCCGGGCUCAACCUGGGAACUGCAUUUGUGACUGGCAAGCUAGAGUGUGGCAGAGGGGGGUGGAAUUCCGCGUGUAGCGGUGAAAUGCGUAGAGAUCGGGAGGAACAUCAGUGGCGAAGGCGGCCAUCUGGGACAACACUGACGCUGAGGCACGAAAGCGUGGGGAGCAAACAGGAUUAGAUACCCGUGUAGUCCCUGUCUCUUAUAC